CGACUUUCGGGACAGCUACUCAAUCUUUGCUGUUUUGCUUUGCUAUUCAACCUCUCAAGAACUCUCACCACCUAGCGCCAUCUUCCCCCAAACUUGGAAUCUCUUGCUAUUCUUUUUAUUUUCGAGCCCUAGACGGUAGUCGGCAAUCACCUUCGAUUCCACUGAUGACUCCAAAGACGGCAGCAUAGCAGAAGAAGAAGCCCAAAGCAAUCUUGUUUCUCCGUUUUUUUUUUUUUGUUAUUUUGAUUUGUUUAAUGUUUUAAACUUUCAAUUUUUUUUAUUUUGGUAACAUAUGGUGAACUUAAUAUUGUUUUAUGAGUUAGAUGGCCUAUUAAUCUUUUCUUGAGCAUUGUGUUGGAACUAAAAUCAUGUAUUAGUUUUGUAUUGUAUAUGGAAUUAGCUCUGUGAAUUCAUUGCUCUGUGAAAUGUGAAUUGCUUUUGCUUCUAGUAUUACUACCACUGUGAAUUGCUCUAUUUUUGCUUUUAGUAUUUGUGAUUCUGUGAAUUGAAUUGCUUCUAGUAAUUGGAUGUUGAGAAUUGCUAAUGGAAAUUUCUUGAAUCUUUCCACUAAACGCAUACAUUGUUCGAAUUCUAUUGCCAACAAAAAACUGAAAUGUGCUCUAAACUAGUAGCUUAUCUGGAAAACUGAUCAUAGUCAAAUUAAGUAGCAUUUCAAGAAAUAGAGGGAAUUCUAUUACAUGGUUGAGUGUCGAUGGUUUUUAUUCAAGUGUUUGAAUCAAAUAUUUAAUUUUCUCAAAUACAAUUUUCUAGAUUUUAAAUCUAUAUUAUAUCUAGAACUAGAUUGAUUGAAGCUUGCUAAUUUGAUAGGGCGAAAUGGAUGUGCUCUUGCUCUUAUGAUUGCUAGGGAUGUGAUGUAGGGCGCUAACCAAUCCGUCAUCCUUCACAUACUAGAUGUUCAUCUUGCUGUUGAGACACUUAAUGGAGUGAGAUGGGACUGUUCAAUACUGCGCUCCCUCUUCUCAAAGGUUAGUUAUUUACUCUAGAGUAGUGAAAAUAAUCAUCAAUAAUUUCAUAAAUUUUGACAUUUUGUAUGCCAGAUGAGAUAUGAGUUAAAAGUGGAUAACUUUUAUCUAUCUACUAUGCUAUUUAAAUUAGGUGGUGUUGCAACAACUAAUGCUGUUGAAACAUGCAAUGGAGUCAACAUUACAGUGAUGGUUGGUGGUUUCCCCAGGAAAGAGGAAAGAUGUGAUAUUAAAGAAUGUUUCAUAUACAAAUCCCACGCUUCAGUUCUUGAGAAGCAGGCCAUUGCCAACUGCAAUGUGAUUAGCUUAUAUUGAGCUUUCUUGAUGGUCUUUUUUUAUGGAAUUUUUAUAGAAUAAUGCUAUGGCAAGUAAAGAUGAGGGAUAUCCUGGCGUAGUUGGAUUUGGACGAUGCGCUGCUAGGUUUUAAGAAGAUACCAACUGAUUGGACAAUAGAAGAUAAAGAAAUGUGGGAUUGGAAGGCUUUAUCGUAGAUCCAUCUUCAUUUAUAUAGCAAUAUUCUGCAGGAUGUCUUGAAGGAGAAAAUAGUAGCUGCCUUGUGGUUGAAAUUGGAGUAGUUAUGUAUAACUAAAAGUCUCACGAGCAAACUGACUCUAAAGUAGAAGCUAUAUUCUCAUUACAUGGUAGAAGGAGGGUCACUGGAGGACCAUAUUGCAGUGUUCAAGAAAAUAGUUGCAGAUCUGGAGAUGUUGGAGGUUAAGUAAGAUGAAGAGGAUCUGACCUUGAUCAUGUGGAAUUUGCCACCUGGCUCUUAUGCAUCGUUUUGGGACACAAUUUUUUAUAGUCGGGAUACUUUGACUAUAAACGACGUCUAUGAUGCUUUGCACUCAAAGGAGAAGUUGAAGCAUUUGGUUUGAGCUAUAUCGAGGGAUGAGGAAGUUUUUGUAUUUCAUGGUGGUCGACGGAGAGGCAGAUCGAAAAAUAGCAACAAUUUUGUUUUGCUUUUACUAUACUAUAGACGUAAGGGACAUAUUUAGAAGGAAUGUGAUAAGUUGCAGGCUAAUGGUGAUUUGGCUGCAAGUCGUGAAGCGCAACUUUUGACUUCAGAUGAAACAAAUGUAGUUGAUAAUUUUUCAGAAGGCGGAGAUGUGAUGUUGAUCAUGAUAUCUGACAUGGAAUUUAGGUCUGACGAGGAGUCGAUUCUUGAUUCGGUAUGUUCGUAUCAUAGGUGUUCUAAUCGGACUUUCUUUCAGACAUUUGAAAUUGUUCAGCAAGAUGGAGUUGGAAUGGGAAACAAUCAAUUUUGCCGUAUUACUGGGAUCGGUCAAGUUAGAUUUAGGCUGCGGGAUGGGACAGUCAUAACUAUUGAUCAGGUUCGACAUGUUCCAGACCUGAAAAUGAAUCUCAUCUCGCUUAGUACUUUAAAUGCAAAAGGGUAUAAAUUCUCUAGUGGAGGUGGAGUCCUGAAGGUCCGAAAGAGUGUCCGAGUUGUGCUAGAUGGAUGGAGAAUGUCUCAGUUCUACAUCUUGUAGGGGAGCACAGAAUAAGUUAAGAGACAUAUGGACAAAUUCAGUUUCGUGGUAGAUAUUUAGUUUGGUACAAUACCUCUUGUGACGGGCUUUGGAUCGAUUCAGAACAUUGCUCGAGGAAGCGUUGGUAAUUCCGCUUUGCCACCAAUUUCAGCGGUUUUACUAUAUUCAGUUACUAGGAUUAGAUCCACUGAGCGUAGGAACCGUGGUGUCAAUGAUGUCUGUACUGCUUUUGGGGAUGUUAAAGGUGACAGUUCCAACAAUGGGCCUUCUGUUCAGACAUUUUGUAUGAUUUCUGCUAUAGGGUGUGCUUCGACCCUGUUUGGUAAACAUUAAACCAUUGUCCUUUGCACAGCGUCAACAAGAUUGGGAACAAGAUUGUGAAAAGAGAUCAAAAGGUUGGGAACAUAUAGUUUUAACUUGGC
Molecule: long non-coding RNA, 2895 nt
Filed under: Olea europaea subsp. europaea
Lineage: Eukaryota; Viridiplantae; Streptophyta; Magnoliopsida; Lamiales; Oleaceae
Source: RNAcentral